AAUUCACGAAAUGUUAAAUAGUUUAUUAUUCUGAAAUUAUUUAAUCUUGGUGUGAAUUCCCAACAAUUCCAUAUUCAUACUAUUCAAAGAAACGUGUGGAAUUGUUUCUCUUACAGGGCCAUGAUUUUUUUUUUUUUUUUUUCAGGACCACUAGUAAAUAAUUAGGUCUCCAGUCAACCCCUCUUUCUCAUAAAACUUUAAAAAACACUCCCCUCUUCAAAUUGAUUAAACAUCUAGCCUCUCUUUUUUCUCUCUCCACUCUUUGCUAGGGUUUUUGAGGGCCGCCUUCUCUAUUCCCCAUCCAAGCGUGGUUUGAUGACGAUGCUAACUCAGAAAGUGUGGCUUUGACGGCGAUUCGCACUUAUCCAUAUUAGGUUUCAACAAUAAAGUGCUUCCAUAGUUUUAGAGGGAGAGGGAGGUUCCGUGAGAGACGCUGAACUGAGUUUCAACAUGUUCCUCGCUUUGUCGAGGUCCUCUGUUUAUCAGAGUUUGGAGAUGUCUCCAAGACGGUGUGGUUUUUAUACGAUGGUUUCCUUUUCUUAUCCAGUCUGUCGAUCUUGCCGGUUGCCUAGCCGGAGGGGCACAUGUGAGAAGAGGCUUGUAAAAUUGGGGUUUUUGAGCCUUGGAGGCAUAGAUACCUGAUUUAUGUCCAGCUUUCCUUUUGAUCCAGGGGUGCAGGUUUCUGCGGGCAAGCCUGUUUGUUGAAUUUUGUACAGAGCUCUAUGGUUUGGCUUAUUUUCGGGGUUAAGGGUUUGGGGCUUUGUAUACAGUUGUCUAGACUAUGGUGUUGUCGUUGGGUGGUGAGGAUGAUAAUGAUCUCCCAGUUGUGGGAUGCCUUUUACCGAGUUUUUUUUAUUACUUUCAGACGCUCUUAGGCUGGUCGACGGUUAGGGUUCACUGGUCGACGACAUGUUUGAUUGCGUGGGAGGCUUUGCUGUUGCCGAUGUGUCUCUUGCAUGCUUAUUGGUGGGGUCAGACAGACCAUGGGCACGUGCGGAUUCAUAGUCUGUUUAUGGCCCACCACUUUGACUUCUUUAUUAGGCAGGUAAAGCCUAUAGGCUUAGUUUUCAAAGUCUUUAUUUGCGUGGUUCUCCUUGCGUAUCGUUUCUUAGCCUCUGAUGUACUUCAAUGUCGUGCCUUUCUUGAGUUGUCUUGAUGCUAGCACUCUCAUUUUCUCUGAUACCCUUUAAAGCUUAAGGUUUUUAUUAACCUUGCUGGGUGUCAGUCUUGUUGUGUGGGUUUUAUGUCUCAUGUGUUCUUUGCUGUAUCAGUGGUUCAUUGAUCUUGCCGUGUAGAUGCUGCAUGGCAUUUUUUUGUCAGGGUAAAAAAUAAAAUAAAAUUUUAAAUUGAUUGA
Molecule: long non-coding RNA, 1354 nt
Organism: Cornus florida
Lineage: Eukaryota; Viridiplantae; Streptophyta; Magnoliopsida; Cornales; Cornaceae
Exons: 2
Source: RefSeq, a predicted model, not a curated record